This is a long non-coding RNA of Engraulis encrasicolus (European anchovy), 1421 nucleotides long. RefSeq lists it as uncharacterized. The record is from RefSeq and is a predicted model, not a curated record. The transcript has 4 exons. NCBI's taxonomy places the organism in Eukaryota, Metazoa, Chordata, Actinopteri, Clupeiformes, Engraulidae.
UGAUUUAGGGUGUUUCCGCCCUGUGAAUUUCCCUUUUUUAUUGCUUUUGGGCUCGAGGUAUUUAUUUAUAAUUAUUUAACGUGUACGCUCGUGAGCAUUGAAGAUAGCGGGUUAUUUUUUCUAAAUAGUUUGUCUUCUAAACAAUGGCUUGUGAACUUUGAUUGCUUCGCGUUGCGUUCUCGGCAUUGAGGAGACAGUGACCAGCUGAUUGGACUGAUUGCAAACAAUCAUCUGACUUGGCUGUGAUUUCAGUGGUUUGCGGUGCACUCACUUCUGCUGUGAAAUGUUUGUUUGUUGUGUCUUGUAAUUGGGGUGCGGUGACGACUUGCAGGUGCCAAAGAUAGGACAAUGCCAAAGCGAUUCCAUUACAAACUCAAAUACAGGUUUGCAGGCUCAAUGUGCUACUGAUGGGGGUGGGUGUGGCUACUUUCUUUUAUACAUACAUGGGUUCUCAGUGUUUAACACAAUGUUAUGAGGAGGGGCAAGACACUGGCAGCCAACCACGUGAGUUAAAUUUUUGACCGACAGCGGUUUCCAACAAUCAGAGGUUGAGUUGUGCGCAGCUAAGCUUGUGCAGUCAGGUUAUAAACAAAAUUUAGAACUCAUGUAUAGGGAUCUAGAGAGAAGACCAGAUGUGACCAGACAGAGAAGAGACAGCACGGCGGAGAGGUCACAGCAGAGAAGGUGGAACAGAACGGAGGGCACGCCAUUGGAUUGUGGUUUCCACACAGGGUACGCAACGCUCUCAAUCCUGCAUCUGGGUCGUGGCUAAGCCACACCCACGCAACGUAAGUACGCUUUUGAAAUACUUAGCGUACUAAAUAUUCUGCUGGCUGUGAAGGCUCUUCCCACUGCUGAGACCCUUUCUCUUUCUUUCCCCAUUGGAGGCAUCGGCCAGUGCCAGUGAAGUAAGGAGCAGAAACCGACUGCUGGAAGGGACGGUAACCUGGGCUUGUUGUGCUAAGCUCACUGCUUCUGCUGCUGACCCCUUGCUGCUUCUGCUGCUUACUCGCUUGCUGACUCUACUGAUGCUGUCGUUUGCUGCUCUAUUUAGUUGCUUUGCACAAACUGGGGUUUUAAUUUGGACUUGAUUGGACUUCCAUUUUAGCAUUGGACAUUUAGGUGCAUCUAACAUGGAAGGUUCCCGCUUCAAUAAUGAACUGUUACAAGUUAAAUUGUAACUUGAACUUUUUUGUCAGCUCGCGACUCUUCAGCACACCUGCAACUUUGUCUGGUCACGGACAAACACAAAGAAAAGAAAGAAACCAAGCUGAAGCAGAAGCAGCAACAGAAGUAGCAGAAGGUGUGUGUCUGGCUGUGGCAGUCCACCCAUCAGGUCCUGAAGUCUACAUGGGAAUCCCAAAUGCUGCCAGGCUCAACGGAGGAGGAGGAGGAGGAGGAGGAGGAGGAGGAGGAGGAGG